RNAcentral lists this long non-coding RNA (291 nucleotides) under Vombatus ursinus (common wombat). Its description in RNAcentral is "lncRNA (ENSVURG00010009908.1)". The record is from RNAcentral. Lineage: Eukaryota; Metazoa; Chordata; Mammalia; Diprotodontia; Vombatidae.
GGACUGCUCCAGGGACCCAGGUACCGCGCUCCCGGAUAUAAGCAAACCUUGAUUAAAAGCUGCCUGACAGCCCACGGCAGCAGCAAGCAGCAGGCAAGGAAGCUCUUCAAGUCCAAAGGGAGUCGCAGUGGCGGCUCCCGCCACGGCCAGGCUCUCAGAUGUCCCUGAUCCUUUAAUCAAUCACAGCCGAGGAGGGGAAGAGCGAACGCCCAUCUGAGGCGAGGAGGUAUGUUCCUGCAUUCAUUGCUACUGCCCUGGGAGCUCUGGAGGCCCUAAUGACACGUUAUCGGG